This 406-nucleotide ribosomal RNA is filed under the name uncultured bacterium. Its description in RNAcentral is "partial 16S ribosomal RNA". It matches the Rfam family "Bacterial small subunit ribosomal RNA", at positions 28 to 526 of the family's 1533-position model. The record is from RNAcentral.
GAUGAACGCUGACAGAAUGCUUAACACAUCAGCAAUUGAUUGGUGGCGGACGGGUGAGUAACGCGUAAAGAACUUGCCUCACAGCUAGGGACAACAUUUGGAAACGAAUGCUAAUACCUAAUACUGUGAGAGAGCUUUGCGUCCCAUUAGCUAGUUGGAGAGGUAACGGCUCACCAAGGCGAUGAUGGGUAGCCGGCCUGAGAGGGGGAUCGGCCACAAGGGGACUGAGACCCCGCCAUUAGGCCUAAGGGAGGCAGCAGUGGGAAAUAUUUGCAAAUGGACCAAAGUCUGAUCCAGCCAUUCUGUGUGCACGAUGAAGUUUUCGGAAUGUAAAGUGCUUUCAGUUGGAAAGCGUUACCAACAGAAGAAGGGACGGCUAACUCCGUGCCAGCAGCCGCGGUAAUAC